RNAcentral lists this microRNA (23 nucleotides) under Lepisosteus oculatus (spotted gar). Its description in RNAcentral is "Loc-Mir-92-P2d_5p* (star (passenger))". RNAcentral also lists the same sequence under 3 other names. Lineage: Eukaryota; Metazoa; Chordata; Actinopteri; Semionotiformes; Lepisosteidae. The record is from RNAcentral.
AGGCGGAGACUUGGGCAAUUGCC